Molecule: ribosomal RNA, 1474 nt
Filed under: Thalassobacter stenotrophicus
Lineage: Bacteria; Pseudomonadati; Pseudomonadota; Alphaproteobacteria; Rhodobacterales; Roseobacteraceae
Description: bacterial LSU rRNA
Rfam family: Bacterial large subunit ribosomal RNA
Source: RNAcentral
GAAGGGCGUUUGGUGGAUGCCUUGGCAGUAAGAGGCGAUGAAGGACGUGAUACUCUGCGAUAAGUCAUGGGGAGCUGAGAAUAAGCUUUGAUCCAUGAAUUUCCGAAUGGGGCAACCCAUCUGACAGUUUGAUAUUAUCAGCACUGCUGUUGAUAUUGAGCUGAACCAGAUACUUAAUACCUGAAUACAUAGGGUUUUAAGAGCAAACCUGGGGAACUGAAACAUCUAAGUACCCAGAGGAAAGGAAAUCAAUAUGAUACUCCCCUAGUAGCGGCGAGCGAACGGGGACCAGCCGAGCCUUGAGUGUGAUCAGAAAGACCUGGGAAGGUCUGCCAUAGUGGGUGAUAGCCCCGUAUGAGAAGCACGAUUGGACGUAUUAAGUAGGGCGGGACACGUGAAAUCCUGUCUGAAGAUCGGAGGACCACCUUCGAAGGCUAAGUACUCCUUACUGACCGAUAGCGAACCAGUACCGUGAGGGAAAGGUGAAAAGCACCCCGACGAGGGGAGUGAAACAGUUUCUGAAACCGGACGCCUACAAGCAGUGGGAGGCCCCUUGAGGGCUGACCGCGUACCUUUUGUAUAAUGGGUCAUCGACUUAGUCUGACUAGCAAGCUUAAGCCGUUAGGUGUAGGCGCAGCGAAAGCGAGUCUUAAUAGGGCGAAUGAGUUAGUCGGAUUAGACCCGAAACCGAGUGAUCUAGGCAUGACCAGGAUGAAGAUUAGGUAACACUAAUUGGAGGUCCGAACCCACACCUGUUGAAAAAGGUCGGGAUGAGUUGUGCCUAGGGGUGAAAGGCCAAUCAAACUCGGAGAUAGCUGGUUCUCCGCGAAAUCUAUUUAGGUAGAGCGUCGUACGAAUACCUCGGGGGGUAGAGCACUGGAUGGGUAAUGGGGCCCCACAGGCUUACUGAUCCUAACCAAACUCCGAAUACCCGAGAGUAAUAUACGGCAGACACACUGCGGGUGCUAACGCCCGUAGUGAAAAGGGAAACAACCCUGACCUCCAGCUAAGGCCCCUAAUUCAUGGCUAAGUGGGAAAGCAGGUGAGACGACCAAAACAACCAGGAGGUUGGCUUAGAAGCAGCCAUCCUUUAAAGAUAGCGUAACAGCUCACUGGUCUAAUUAAGUUGUCUUGCGGCGAAGAUGUACCGGGGCUCAAGCCAUGAGCCGAAGCUGAGGAUGCACAUAGUGCAUGGUAGCGGAGCGUAGUGUGACAUAGUUCUACGCCUCCUUAGCAUCCUUCGGGAUGUAUUGGAGGCAGAGAACUUUCGAUGAAGCCGGGGCGUGAGCCAUCCGGUGGAGAGAUCACUAGUGAGAAUGAUGACAUGAGUAGCGACAAACAGGGUGAGAGACCCUGUCGCCGAAAGUCCAAGGGUUCCUGCUUAAAGCUAAUCUGAGCAGGGUAAGCCGACCCCUAAGGCGAGGCCGAAAGGCGUAGUCGAUGGGAACCAGGUUAAUAUUCCUGGGCCAGUUAG